Molecule: long non-coding RNA, 1207 nt
Organism: Dermacentor andersoni
Lineage: Eukaryota; Metazoa; Arthropoda; Arachnida; Ixodida; Ixodidae
Source: RefSeq, a predicted model, not a curated record
CAGUCGAACCAGCCACCGCGUUUCUUUUACGGUGCCUAGAGGGGAAAAAAAACUGCCGCUGUGGGCACUGUUGUAUGCAUGGGAAUGCUGGGAAGUGAUCGCUUUGGAUUGGAUUCUUUCUCAAAGAUCUUGUGAAAUUUUUUUUUUUAUGCUAACACAUGAGGAACUGUGCCGGACUGUGCGGUUAUAUCAAACGGGAACAGUGCCGACGAGAUGCGAAAGUUGGAGAAAAAAAACAACGAGGUCCGCGCACCCUGUCCGUCAGUUUCAAGCAUCCAGUUUCGCCUUGUUUGUUCACUUGCGAUAGAUGCGAUAAACAAUAACUAGAGAUGUAUUAUGGGAAAGCAAGGACUUUAUCCGAUGAUUUCGUUUGCGAAAGCAUUAUCUGUGCGGAAAUGACAAUGUCUCAAGUCAAGCCAAGUUCAAUACCUGCCGCAAUAGCUCAGUGGCAAUGGCACUGUGCUGGUGAGCACGAGCUUGCGGGGUCGAUCCCGGCCACAGUGGCUGCAUUUCAAUGGGGGUGAAAUGCGAAAAUGUUUGUAUAGUUAGACUCAGGUGCGUGCUAAAGAACUCCGGGUAGUCUGAGUUAAUCCGCAUCGUUAAUUCGCAUUUCCUCCCAGGUAAUAUUGCAAGAAGCUCCAUGGAAUCAGCCAAGUUUUGCAUCCUGAACCAAGACUCCACAAAUGAGAUCACGUGUUCAGGUAAUAUUGCAAGAAGCUCCAUGGAAUCAGCCAAGUUUUGCAUCCUGAACCAAGACUCCACAAAUGAGAUCACGUGUUAUGCGACGCCAUUGGGCAAAAGAGGAUGUUCCACAUCUGCCCUCCGAGUGAUGCUGGCUAACACUCCUAGGGCUAGAUUUAGUAAGCAUAAAUACCAAGGUUAGUGGACGAGUUGAUAGCCGUCACCGUAGCAGAAUUGGUAGUGCAACGUGUGCGUAAUGAGGAGGUUGUGGGUUCCGCUUCCGCCGGUGACGAGUUAUCUUUUUGUCCACUUCCUUUUCCCUUUUCUUCAUUAUUUUCUACAUUCCAAUUUCAACCACAGUUAAUUUCCCAGAUGGUUUUCUUGGCUUCAUUGUCUGUUGGCUUUAUGUGGUCAUGAUAUGUAGAGGGGGCUGCGGGCCCCUGUCAAGCUGCCGUUUGUUCGUGCAGCUUUUACCUGCAGCCUCCUCCAUCUUUCUUGAUGGGAAAUAAACAUUAUUUUAUAUAUA